GCACCAACUCUUACGCGCAUUCGUGA
Molecule: unclassified non-coding RNA, 26 nt
Filed under: Mus musculus (house mouse)
Lineage: Eukaryota; Metazoa; Chordata; Mammalia; Rodentia; Muridae
Description: oocyte_clustered_small_RNA3573
Source: RNAcentral